GACGAACGCUGGCGGCGUGCUUAACACAUGCAAGUCGAACGGAAAGGCCCUGCUUUUGUGGGGUGCUCGAGUGGCGAACGGGUGAGUAACACGUGAGUAACCUGCCCUUGACUUUGGGAUAACUUCAGGAAACUGGGGCUAAUACCGGAUAGGAGCUCCUGCUGCAUGGUAGGGGUUGGAAAGUUUCGGCGGUUGGGGAUGGACUCGCGGCUUAUCAGCUUGUUGGUGGGGUAGUGGCUUACCAAGGCUUUGACGGGUAGCCGGCCUGAGAGGGUGACCGGCCACAUUGGGACUGAGAUACGGCCCAGACUCCAACGGGAGGCAACAGUGGGGAAUAUUGCACAAUGGGCGGAAGCCUGAUGCAGCAACGCCGCGUGCGGGAUGACGGCCUUCGGGUUGUAAACCGCUUUCGCCUGUGACGAAGCGUGAGUGACGGUAAUGGGUAAAGAAGCACCGGCUAACUACGUG
Molecule: ribosomal RNA, 468 nt
Filed under: uncultured bacterium
Lineage: Bacteria
Description: partial 16S ribosomal RNA
Rfam family: Bacterial small subunit ribosomal RNA
Source: RNAcentral